UUUCAUUGCAGCACAAAAUACUUCGUAUAGUAAUUUGGGUUGCCUACUGAUUUCGAGUUCGACGAAUUUAAAUUAUCUCGGGGAAUGUUUAUCGGUUUUUUUUUCCAUAUGUGCCAGAUACGGUAAUUUCAUUCAAGAAAGAAUUCACUUUCGUACUCCGAAAUUGGGAAAGUAGAUAUUUCGAUUUAUUCUGUGGAAAUCCAAGAGUUUUGGGAUAAAAAUAUUUUCCUGAUUUCUUUCAAUAUUGUAUUGCGAGUUGGUUAUUUGAUGAAGCAAUAUAAUACCCAAAUUUGGGGAUCAUUGGAGUGUAUUGAAAGAGUAUCUUUCUCCAUUAGGCCACACAACAUCAAAGGCCUUUUUUUUCUUUUCCCGACUUUUUCUUCUUGAGUUUACGUUUGGAAUAUAACGUAAAAUAUAAGAGUGCUGUCGACAGAGAAUUCAAUUUACCUAAGAUCCAAGAACAUCAAGGAUACUGAACGAGCGCUGCAGAUUUUUGGUUUAUGUUCAAUUUUUGUCUUCACGAGUUUGGACUCACAGGAUUGAGAAGAAUUGGUGACGUAGUUUUAAUAAUAGUUUCAAUCCUGCUGUUCAUCAAACUGGUAUGUACAGAUAAUUUCGAUUUCGAUUGCUGGUACCAAUCAAGAAUACCUUGUGACAUAGGAACUUUUCUAGUGAAGUUGAUUUUGGAGUUUUGACAUUAAUAAGUGAAUAUCUGAAUAUCUGAACCUAUAGA
Coccinella septempunctata (seven-spotted ladybird) is the source of this 733-nucleotide long non-coding RNA. RefSeq lists it as uncharacterized. The transcript is spliced from 2 exons. The record is from RefSeq and is a predicted model, not a curated record. NCBI's taxonomy places the organism in Eukaryota, Metazoa, Arthropoda, Insecta, Coleoptera, Coccinellidae.